AUUGAACGCUGGCGGCAUGCCUAACACAUGCAAGUCGAACGGUUUAUGGAGCUUGCUUCAUAGAUAGUGGCGGACGGGUGAGUAAUAUGUAGGAAUCUGCCUUGAGGAGGGGGAUAACUUGGGGAAACUCAAGCUAAUACCGCGUAAGUCGGAGACGAGAAAGCAGGGGACCGAAAGGCCUUGCGCCUUAAGAUGAGCCUACAUCGGAUUAGCUAGUUGGUGGGGUAAAGGCCUACCAAGGCGAUGAUCCGUAGCUGGUCUGAGAGGAUGACCAGCCACACUGGGACUGAGACACGGCCCAGACUCCUACGGGAGGCAGCAGUGGGGAAUAUUGGACAAUGGGCGAAAGCCUGAUCCAGCCAUGCCGCGUGUGUGAAGAAGGCCUUCGGGUUGUAAAGCACUUUAAGCGAGGAGGAAGGUUCGUCACCUAAUACGUGACGGAAUUGACGUUACUCGCAGAAUAAGCACCGGCUAACUCUGUGCCAGCCGCCGCGGUAA
This 498-nucleotide ribosomal RNA is filed under the name uncultured bacterium. RNAcentral's name for it is "partial 16S ribosomal RNA". It matches the Rfam family "Bacterial small subunit ribosomal RNA", at positions 30 to 523 of the family's 1533-position model. The record is from RNAcentral.